CCCUCACCCUGCAGCUCUGGCACAGGAGCUCCAGCCCCAGCACUCCCAGGUGUCCACUCAGUGAUCGCACUCAACACAGACACUCACCAUGGAGACUGGGCUGCGCUGGCUUCUCCUGGUCGCUGUGCUCAAAGGUGUCCAGUGUCAGCAGCAGCUGGAGGAGUCCGGGGGAGGCCUGGUCAAGCCUGAGGGAUCCCUGACACUCACCUGCAAAGCCUCUGGAUUCGACUUCAGUAGCAAUGCAAUGUGCUGGUUCCGCCAGGCUCCAGGGAAGGGGCCGGAGUGGAUCGCAUGCAUUUAUGCUGGUGAUGGAAGCACAGACUACGCGAGCUGGGUGAAUGGCCGAUUCACCAUCGCCAGCGACAACGCCCAGAACACUGUGGAUCUUCAAAUGACCAGUCUGACAGGCGCGGACACGGCCACCUAUUUCUGUGGGAGAGACACAGGAGACCAGCAGGUGGGACAGUCCAGUGAGGUCUGCACUAGAGUCCAGGUGGUUCUGGACUGUGUCCCUGUGAGUCGACCAAUGAUCCAACCCUGGAGCUGCAUCCCUGCUGCAUGA
This is a non-coding RNA of Oryctolagus cuniculus (rabbit), 562 nucleotides long. The record is from the annotation of a RefSeq genome assembly. NCBI's taxonomy places the organism in Eukaryota, Metazoa, Chordata, Mammalia, Lagomorpha, Leporidae.